Molecule: ribosomal RNA, 253 nt
Filed under: uncultured bacterium
Lineage: Bacteria
Description: partial 16S ribosomal RNA
Rfam family: Bacterial small subunit ribosomal RNA
Source: RNAcentral
UACAGAGACUGCAAGCGUUAUUCGGAUUCCCUGGGCGUAAAGGGUGCGCAGGCGGCCGUGUGUGUGAGGCGUGAAAGCCCGGGGCUCAACCCCGGAAUUGCACCUCAAACUACAUGGCUAGAGCAUUGGAGAGGGUAGCGGAAUUCACGGUGUAGCAGUGAAAUGCGUAGAUAUCGGGAGGAACACCUGUGGCGAAAGCGGCUCACUGGACCAUUACUGACGCUGAUGCUCGAAAGCUAGGGGAGCAAACAGG